UUCCUUUCAAAAAGAAAAAUUCAGAUCUUUAAUUAAAAUAUCUUAGCAGCAAAAUCAGGAACAAUAAGAAUAUUACCGAUGUAGAGGUGACAACUCAGAGAUUUAACUAAACAUCCAAAUAUAUCUGCCGAAUUACUGGUAAACUAACGACGGGUUUCCAUAUAUAUGGUCAUUAAAUUAAUUGAAUAAGGCAAAAAUGUGAGCAAAAUUUUUUCCGUUGCUACCAGUUGUAUUAACAGCACGUGCUCAGGUUCCGCAGGUUCAAGAAUCUGUUGUUAGCUGGCCUCAAAUGCCGCUGGAAUCCCUCCCAAAAAUGAAACGCCUUGUCCAGUCCGUUAUCACUAAUGCUCUUGUGCGCCAGCUCACUAGCUUGCUGAAGAAGGGUAGAAAAUAAAACGGAAAAACAAUGAUGUUAAGAGGAGCUCAGAGUUUGGAGCAAUUUGAGGAUUUGCAAACAGAGAAAGAUUGAUUACCUGGCAUAGACAGAAUACCAAAGCCAUUGACUACUGUGUCCAAUUGAAACCCAAUCACCAGGUAGUUGUGCUGCCGUUUGCUCACCUCCCAGUGGAGCGAAUUGCCCAAGAUGCCUAUACCUGGAAAAAAAAUUGACCAUAAAAUAUGUAUUUAUGGUUAAAUUUAAAUGGCAGGUGUCUUGAUCUGGCCUAGGCUUUGGGACUCCUUGAAUGCUCUAUGAGAAGAUAUUUCUAAUUUAAUUGAGCAUCAUUUUUUCCAUCUAUUAGGCUAUUAUUUUGUCACUUCAUGUGAAAUAGAUUUUAACUUAGAUGAACUUAUAUUUUAGUUUUUAGUUUUUACUUUUUAGGGACUUUUCAUCUUAAUUAGUAAAUGGUCAUUGAUUGGCUGAACAUAUGGAUAUGGGUUCAUGUGAUGAGAAUGACAGUUAACUAAUUCAAGUUCAGUAUUGUGCCUAAUUUUUCCUAAAUAACCAUACACACUGGCUUAGAACAAAUGUGUAGCUAUGAACACAAUGCGGGCCCAAACAGAACGAUAACGGCCCAAGGCUCAAGCAUGAGAUAAGAUUAAACGAGAUCUGUGUUGGGCCACCAAAGAAUAUGAGAUAAAGCGUACACCCUGAAGCAUUCAAAAUUCAGAUCUUUUCCUUUCAAAAAGAAAAAUUCAGAUCUUUAAUUAAAAUAUCUUAGCAGCAAAAUCAGGAACAAUAAGAAUAUUACCGAUGUAGAGGUGACAACUCAGAGAUUUAACUAAACAUCCAAAUAUAUCUGCCGAAUUACUGGUAAACUAACGACGGGUUUCCAUAUAUAUGGUCAUUAAAUUAAUUGAAUAAGGCAAAAAUGUGAGCAAAAUUUUUUCCGUUGCUACCAGUUGUAUUAACAGCACGUGCUCAGGUUCCGCAGGUUCAAGAAUCUGUUGUUAGCUGGCCUCAAAUGCCGCUGGAAUCCCUCCCAAAAAUGAAACGCCUUGUCCAGUCCGUUAUCACUAAUGCUCUUGUGCGCCAGCUCACUAGCUUGCUG
Molecule: long non-coding RNA, 1490 nt
Filed under: Jatropha curcas
Lineage: Eukaryota; Viridiplantae; Streptophyta; Magnoliopsida; Malpighiales; Euphorbiaceae
Description: long non-coding RNA (JCUR_LNC003331)
Source: RNAcentral